This 253-nucleotide ribosomal RNA is filed under the name uncultured bacterium. RNAcentral's name for it is "partial 16S ribosomal RNA". It matches the Rfam family "Bacterial small subunit ribosomal RNA", at positions 524 to 776 of the family's 1533-position model. The record is from RNAcentral.
UACGUAGGGGGCAAGCGUUGUCCGGAAUCAUUGGGCGUAAAGCGCGUGUAGGCGGCUCGAUAAGUCCGCUCUGAAAGUCCAGGGCUCAACCCUGGGAUGCGGGUGGAUACUGUCGGGCUCGAGUCCGGAAGAGGCGAGUGGAAUUCCCGGUGUAGCGGUGAAAUGCGCAGAUAUCAGGAAGAACACCCGUGGCGAAGGCGGCUCUCUGGGACGGUACUGACGCUGAGACGCGAAAGCGUGGGGAGCGAACAGG